GGGGCCGUAGUCUAGUUAUCUAGGAAUUCUUUCUAGUUAGGAAAACUUGGUCCAAGAUGCCAGAAUAUGUAAAUAUAGCUAACCUGGGGACCUUGUCAGAAUGCUGGUGAUCGCGUGUUCAAAUCACGCCGGCCCCA
RNAcentral lists this transfer RNA (137 nucleotides) under Nitrososphaerota archaeon. RNAcentral's name for it is "Thaumarchaeota archaeon tRNA-OTHER". Lineage: Archaea; Thermoproteati; Nitrososphaerota. The record is from RNAcentral.